UAUGUACUCAGGUGAAUAUAAUGUUUUUGAUGUUACUCUGAGUGUGUAUCCACACCGGGCAGGCUGAAAAGUUAGCCUGACCAAUGUGGGAAUCGAACCCGCGACCUUUGGGAUACUAGUCCAAUGCUCUACCAACUGAGCUACGAGGCCAAGUCUGUUCGAGUGUGUGGUAUUUCUGAACUAAGUUUAGUACCUUCGAUACCAAUGUGUUCUAUGAUCAUGAAAACAGUUUUACUUGUAUAAUCUUACAGGUAGUUCACGUCGUUGAAUCAAUCCACAGCUUUCUGGUAUUCUUGUUCAUUCCACUUUAGACGUUUUUGCUUAAAUUCCCGUUUUGUGUUUUGUUGGCG
Non-coding RNA from Paramuricea clavata, 350 nucleotides. The record is from the annotation of a GenBank genome assembly. Lineage: Eukaryota; Metazoa; Cnidaria; Anthozoa; Malacalcyonacea; Plexauridae.